GAGACGGGAUACCGUCCCAAGUUUGUGAUCCCUCGCGAUACCAAAGCCCGUGGGAUCGCACCAGUUAACAAAGGAUGGCGGCCCCCCAGGGUGAUUAUGUGUUUAUUCGACCAACGCAGAACCCUCCCAGGCUGACAUCGAAUGAAAGAAGCAGAGAUUUCCCUCUUUCGGAGACAGGAGACAGGUGCAUGGCUGUCGUCAGCUCGUGUCGUGAGAUGUGGGUAAGUCCCGCAACGAGCGCAACCCCUAUCCCAUGUACCAUCAUUGAGUUGGGGACUCAUGGGAGACUGCCAGGGACAACUGGAGGAAGGCGGGGAUGACGUCAAGUCAUCAUGCCCCUUAUGUCCUGGGCUACACACGUACUACAAUGGCCGGCAACAGAGGGAAGCGAAGCCGCGAGGCGGAGCGAACCCCAGAAACCCGGUCCCAGUUCGGAUCGCAGGCUGCAACCCGCCUGAAAGAAGUCGGAAUCGCUAGUAAUCGCAGGUCAGCAUACUGCGGUGAAUACGUUCCCGGGCCUUGUACACGCCGCCCGUCACACCACGAAAGUUGGUAACACCCGAAGCCGGUGGGGUAACCGCAAGGAGAUAGCCGUCUAAGGUGGGGGCGAUGACUGGGGUGAAGUCGUAACAAGGUAGCCGUAUCGGAAGGUGC
Molecule: ribosomal RNA, 654 nt
Filed under: uncultured bacterium
Lineage: Bacteria
Description: bacterial SSU rRNA
Rfam family: Bacterial small subunit ribosomal RNA
Source: RNAcentral